UCACUGGUGUAUAUGGCUUUUGGAAACAUGUAUCUAAGCUUGACCGACUUGAGAGCAAGCGCUACCUUGAAAUGUUCUAUGCCCUGAAGUACCACAAAUUGGCUGAAUCUGUUCCUCUAACUGUUGAGGAUUAGGUGGAACCACAUAACUUAAGAGAGCCUUGUUUCAAGCGGGAAGUUUCGGAGUUGUGAAGAAUAAUGGUCAUUUCACAAAUUUGAUUGGACAAGAAGGAAUUUCCAUUGCUUCAUUUUGUUAUUUUAAUGUUAUUUUCCCUUUAC
This 278-nucleotide unclassified non-coding RNA is filed under the name Hevea brasiliensis (rubber tree). The record is from RNAcentral. Lineage: Eukaryota; Viridiplantae; Streptophyta; Magnoliopsida; Malpighiales; Euphorbiaceae.